UACGGGGGGGGCAAGCGUUGUUCGGAAUUACUGGGCGUAAAGGGCUCGUAGGUGGCCAACUCAGUCAGACGUGAAAUCCCUCGGCUUAACCGGGGAACUGCGUCUGAUACUGGAUGGCUUGAGGUUGGGAGAGGGAUGCGGAAUUCCAGGUGUAGCGGUGAAAUGCGUAGAUAUCCCCAAGAACACCAGUUGCGAAGGCGGUCGUCUGGACACAUAUUGACGCUGAGGCUCGAAAGCAUGGGGAGCAAACAGG
RNAcentral lists this ribosomal RNA (253 nucleotides) under uncultured bacterium. RNAcentral's name for it is "partial 16S ribosomal RNA". It matches the Rfam family "Bacterial small subunit ribosomal RNA", at positions 524 to 776 of the family's 1533-position model. The record is from RNAcentral.